UCUAAACAUUCUGUAACUUCAAUUUUGCUAGCUGAUUGGUUGAUUAUUCAUGACUACUGGAUUACAAAGUAGACCUUUUAAGAUUAAGUUUGAAGUGAGGCCACUAGAACCAUGAUGUGGUCACAUCAAGCAUUGAAAUCAGGCAUCAUGUUCAUUCAUUUUAGCCUUGUUUUCAUCAUGACAUGUUCUUCCAAACUAUUUUAUUACUGUUCUAAUAGCAUGCAAAAUAAAUUAAGGAAUAUCCAGUCUUCGUGUUUCUGGUAGUUACCUUUUCUGUAUGUACUAUUUUGUGCAUAGCUGCAUAUACAUAGUCAUGUCAUUUGCAUCAUGUAAUGAAGAAAGUGCUAGGAGAUACGCUUCAUGAUUUUUCUGCCUAUCAUGUUGGAUUCAGCAGACAGUUUUUCAUAAUAUAGCCAAUUUACACUUGACGUGGUUCAAGCCAAUGAACCUUUGGGUUGUUAGUUUAUUCAGUGAUACUUUGCCUUAGAACAUCUAAGUAAAAACAGAUUUCCGUCUUGGGCUCUUGGCGAAGUUGAAUGCAGGGGUAUGGAUAAGCGCAGUCAUCCCCAUCUUGAUCUUUCUUUAGCACCUCUUCCAUGUGCUAGUAAUUCCCCUCGCCAUGCUGUUGCGGCCAUGGUUGUUUCAUUUUUUUCUGUAGCGGCUACCAUUACCAACUUCUUGCCACAGUUAGCCACACCAUGCACAUCUCCAUACAUUCUCCAUUUAGUAGGAUGUACUGCUUCCAUAGAUUUAAUUUACCCAGCAAAUUUUUAAUCGGUAAUGCCUUUCAAGGAUAUUUAGAUGUUGGCUACUUGAGUUUAGACUGUCAUCAACAAAAGUAUGUUAAAUUUUGAAGCCAACCAAAGCCACUCCUGGCCUAUGUAUUAUUGGCGGACCUCAGCCAAGUUUCAAGUGCAUAUGAUAGUGACUACCGAGAAGUACCCAAGUAUUUUGGUGCUUGCUAAACUAAGUAGUUAGCAACUUUUAUGGAAAUUACCCAAGUAUUUUUAAUCAGUAAUCCGCCGACUCCCUCCUUUGAUCCGGUACACGCUGCAACACCGCCCCCCUCCCCUCCAGGAGAAAGGUGAGGUCGUCUCCCCAUUAUCUUACUUUUUUUUCUUAUACCACUGCCCAUUUGAGCUGUUAAUGUGCAUCUCUUGGUGUAUGCUUGGAGAUGUUGUACACAUCUUGGACCUGUUAAGUUCCACAUUUUCUGCUUAGGAAUUGGUAAUAGGGAUGUGAUAAUGUACGUAUACAUAAUCUGUUACAUAUUUGAUGUUAAUGGUCUAUGCUUUUUCUAAAUUUAGAGAAUGUCCAUAUAAUUCCUAAAAGAACUAGUAUUAUCUAACUGAAAAUUAAGUGUGCAAUGUAUCUGCUAUUUCAGUUUCUUGAGAUUUUUCUUGCGUGUGUGUGUGGUUACGAGUUUUGGUUGCUUUUAGAACAAAUGUUGUGCCAGAUAGCUUGGUAUUGGCUAAAAUCCCUUCAGUGCUUUUAUUCUAGUUAGUACUCUGCAUUUCUACAGUACGUAGAUCACAUUGGAUUUCCUCGUGUACUAAUGCUUUCUUGUCACAUGCUCUUCGCGACUGGCAACUCCAUUUACGUGUUAUAUGCCUUCUCAUCUUUGGAUAUAAGCUGCACUUGGUAGAUUUUGAAGGAAGAAUAAUAAGUGUCGAAUCUGAUUUUGAAGGAAGAAUAAUAAGUGCCUUGUCAUCUUUUUCUUGCAUUGUGACUGGGUUUCCCCCUUUUUUUUCUUGAGUGAUAUAUAGAAUCUGAUUGGUGAGGUGAACUGUCGAAUCUGCCCGGAAAGCUUCAACACCACCGUAAAUGACGGCAAUGGUAGGAGUGGCAGAUUGUGUAGAGGAAGAGGAUGAGAAUAAACUUGUGCUGCUCAUCCAAUCUUUGUAGAACUCUCUUGAUGUGCAAUUGUGCAGUUGUUGGGUCCUCUUUCUCUGCACUUGCACUUGCAGAAAUAUUCUUUUGUGCACUUGUAAAAUUAUUUUGAUGUGCACUUGUUAGGCCUUUAACCUUGAUGUGUAGAGGAGUCGUGGAUGAUGUAUUGUAAGUCAUGUGAUGUGUUACUGAAAUAAAAUAUACAGUUUAUUUGCAA
This is an RNA transcript of Hordeum vulgare subsp. vulgare (domesticated barley), 2107 nucleotides long. RefSeq lists it as uncharacterized. Lineage: Eukaryota; Viridiplantae; Streptophyta; Magnoliopsida; Poales; Poaceae. The record is from RefSeq and is a predicted model, not a curated record. The transcript is spliced from 2 exons.